RNAcentral lists this long non-coding RNA (210 nucleotides) under Brachypodium distachyon (stiff brome). Its description in RNAcentral is "long non-coding RNA (BDIS_LNC003968)". Lineage: Eukaryota; Viridiplantae; Streptophyta; Magnoliopsida; Poales; Poaceae. The record is from RNAcentral.
CUGGUAGAGUAUAAUUAUUUUGUCAAAUUCCUCUCUCUUUUUUACUGUAGAACAAAUUUCGUCAAAUUCGGGCUCGCUUUGGAUCGGUAAAUUGCGAGAGGGCCCAAAUUUUGGAGCUACGGGUGCCGCGAGAGAUAAGAAGAUGCGGCCGUUCGCGUCGCUGUGUCGUGCACGUUGGUACAUGGUACUACGCGUAUUUGCUUGUUUGAU